GACGAACGCUGGCGGCGCGCUUAACACAUGCAAGUCGAACGGAAAGGCCUGCUUUCCCUUGUGGAUUGCGGGUACUCGGGUGGCGAACGGGUGAGUAACACGUGAGUGAUCUGCCCCCAACUUGGGUAUAAGCCUGGGAAACUGGGUCUAAUUCCCGAUAGGACUGCAGGGUGGUGCCUGUGGUGGAAAACGAUUUUCUAGUGGUUGGGGAUGAGCUCGCGGCCUAUCAGCUUGUUGGUGGGGUAAUGGCCUACCAAGGCGGCGACGGGUAGCCGGCCUGGGAGGGUGGACGGCCACAUUGGGACUGAGAUACGGCCCAGACUCCUACGGGAGGCAGCAGUGGGGAAUAUUGCACAAUGGGCGGAAGCCUGAUGCAGCGACGCCGCGUGGGGGAUGACGGCCUUCGGGUUGUAAACUCCUUUCGACCGCGAGGAAGCCACCUGGUUGGAAGGGUGGUGACGGUAGUGGUAGAAGAAGCACCGGCUAACUACGUG
RNAcentral lists this ribosomal RNA (494 nucleotides) under uncultured bacterium. Its description in RNAcentral is "partial 16S ribosomal RNA". It matches the Rfam family "Bacterial small subunit ribosomal RNA", at positions 28 to 507 of the family's 1533-position model. The record is from RNAcentral.